This 467-nucleotide ribosomal RNA is filed under the name uncultured bacterium. Its description in RNAcentral is "bacterial SSU rRNA". It matches the Rfam family "Bacterial small subunit ribosomal RNA", at positions 32 to 509 of the family's 1533-position model. The record is from RNAcentral.
AAUCAACGCUGGCGGCGUGCCUCAGACAUGCAAGUCGAACGAUUAAAGCUCUCUUCGGAGAGUGUAUAGAGUGGCGCACGGGUGAGUAACACGUAAGUAAUCUACCUUUGAGUGGGGAAUAACGUCCGGAAACGGACGCUAAUACCGCAUAAUGCAGCGGCAUCGCAAGAUGACAGUUGUUAAAGAUUUAUCGCUUGAAGAGGAGCUUGCGGCAGACUAGCUAGUUGGUAAGGUAAUGGCUUACCAAGGCUACGAUCUGUAACCGGUCUAAGAGGACGGUCGGUCACACUGACACUGAAUAACGGGUCAGACUCCUACGGGAGGCAGCAGUCGGGAAUUUUGGGCAAUGGGCGAAAGCCUGACCCAGCAACGCCGCGUGAAGGAUGAAGUAUUUCGGUAUGUAAACUUCGAAAGAAUGGGAAGAAUAAAUGACGGUACCAUUUAUAAGGUCCGGCUAACUCCGUGCC